RNAcentral lists this ribosomal RNA (616 nucleotides) under uncultured bacterium. Its description in RNAcentral is "bacterial SSU rRNA". It matches the Rfam family "Bacterial small subunit ribosomal RNA", at positions 338 to 947 of the family's 1533-position model. The record is from RNAcentral.
CCUACGGGAGGCAGCAGUGGGGAAUUUUGGACAAUGGGCGCAAGCCUGAUCCAGCAAUGCCGCGUGAGUGAAGAAGGCCUUCGGGUUGUAAAGCUCUUUUGUCAGGGAAGAAACGGUGGGGGCUAAUAUCUCCUACUAAUGACGGUACCUGAAGAAUAAGCACCGGCUAACUACGUGCCAGCAGCCGCGGUAAUACGUAGGGUGCAAGCGUUAAUCGGAAUUACUGGGCGUAAAGCGUGCGCAGGCGGUUUUGUAAGUCUGUCGUGAAAGCCCCGGGCUCAACCUGGGAAUUGCGAUGGAGACUGCAAGGCUUGAAUCUGGCAGAGGGGGGUAGAAUUCCACGUGUAGCAGUGAAAUGCGUAGAGAUGUGGAGGAACACCGAUGGCGAAGGCAGCCCCCUGGGUCAAGAUUGACGCUCAUGCACGAAAGCGUGGGGAGCAAACAGGAUUAGAUACCCUGGUAGUCCACGCCCUAAACGAUGUCUACUAGUUGUCGGGUUUUAAUUAACUUGGUAACGCAGCUAACGCGUGAAGUAGACCGCCUGGGGAGUCGGUCGCAAGNUUAAAACGUCAAAGGAUUGACGGCNGAGAGNGCGAGGCGACGACGAGGGAGGAGG